RNAcentral lists this transfer RNA (69 nucleotides) under Heterotermes vagus. Its description in RNAcentral is "tRNA-Val". The record is from RNAcentral. Lineage: Eukaryota; Metazoa; Arthropoda; Insecta; Blattodea; Rhinotermitidae.
CAGACCAUUUCUGUUAGUUGAGAUUUCAUUUACGCUGAAUUUUUUGUCGUGCGAUUCGACAUGGUCUGA